RNAcentral lists this transfer RNA (85 nucleotides) under Bacteroidota bacterium. Its description in RNAcentral is "Bacteroidetes bacterium tRNA-Leu". It matches the Rfam family "tRNA". From Rfam's summary of the family: Transfer RNA (tRNA) molecules are approximately 80 nucleotides in length. Their secondary structure includes four short double-helical elements and three loops (D, anti-codon, and T loops). Lineage: Bacteria; Pseudomonadati; Bacteroidota. The record is from RNAcentral.
GCCCGGGUGGUGGAAUGGUAGACACGUUGGACUUAAAAUCCAAUGGCCUGCAACGGCUGUGCGGGUUCAAGUCCCGCCCCGGGUA